UACAGAGGUCUCAAGCGUUGUUCGGAUUCAUUGGGCGUAAAGGGUGCGUAGGUGGCUUGGUAAGUUCGAUGUGAAAUCUCCGGGCUUAACCCGGAAAUGGCAUUGAAUACUAUUGAGCUGGAGGUUUGGAGGGGGGACUGGAAUUCUCGGUGUAGCAGUGAAAUGCGUAGAUAUCGUGAGGAAGACCAGUGGCGAAGGCGGGUCUCUGGACAGUUCCUGACACUGAGGCACGAAGGCCAGGGGAGCAAACGGG
RNAcentral lists this ribosomal RNA (253 nucleotides) under uncultured bacterium. Its description in RNAcentral is "partial 16S ribosomal RNA". It matches the Rfam family "Bacterial small subunit ribosomal RNA", at positions 524 to 776 of the family's 1533-position model. The record is from RNAcentral.